Leopardus geoffroyi (Geoffroy's cat) is the source of this 2495-nucleotide long non-coding RNA. RefSeq lists it as uncharacterized. NCBI's taxonomy places the organism in Eukaryota, Metazoa, Chordata, Mammalia, Carnivora, Felidae. The record is from RefSeq and is a predicted model, not a curated record. The transcript is spliced from 2 exons.
AAUACAGCUUAAAUCUUCAGGGUUCAUACCAGGUUCAUGCUUGUAAUAAAGUUGUUUCAUCUUAUCCAGCAUUCUCUUCUGUUUUAGUUCUGAGUGAGAUUCUUAGACUUUCUUCUUUCUUUUUUUUUUCUUUUUUUUUUUUUUUUGAUUUGUUACUUUAACAUGUAUUGGUUAAUAAAUAAAUAAAUAAAGGGGGAGGGAGAAGUUUUCAACGUCAUUUCAGGAUAACUAUUUCCUGGUAUAAAAAGACAUUAUUCUCAAACAAUAACUUUCUAAAAAAAAAAAAUACAUCAUGCAAAGUUUUAAAAAGUUUCACUGAAUGUUUCAAAACUCUGGGAACAGAUUGUAUAGUAACCAUUUUGACCAGUUUUUGCCGAAGAAACACAAAACCUUGCAAGUCAACUCAAAGGCAGGCUUUGCGGCAAAGGCCUGCUGACCACAGCCCAGACUUUCUUCUUUCUUUUUCAUUUACACAUCCAUCCCCAUGGCUAGCAACAUUUGUUCAAUGAGUUACAGAAUUCCUGAAGUUAUUGGUGUCUACCUGUCUCCCUCUACCUUUAUUUUUUAGCAAAGAACUAUGUUUAGGGUGAUUACGAUUCAGAACUAUUUGAAGAGUAUGUUGAAUUAGGUAAUGCUUAGCAGUCACUUUAAACCUUGUAAUUCAAAUCAAUGUUAUUACUCUCGUAAAGCAAUUAACUCAUUGUUUCUUUUUGGAGAAACUUGUAACUUUCUUAAAGGAGUAUAUACAAACUUUUUGUGGACAGGACAAGAUACGCUCCCUCAACUAUUUCCUCAACAAAAACGGACUAAAAUUCUUUUUUUUUUUUUUUCCAUUAAAUUUCAGUAUUCUAAUACAAACAAUAGAAAUAUUCCUUUUGUUUUUACUCGGUCUACAACAGUUUAAUAAACUUUUAAUGUUGAAAGGGAUUUUAGAGAACAUCGAGUCUAACCUCUUCAUUUAGUAUGUGAGGAAAUUGCAUCUCACAGAAGACAGAGCUAGUGCCUAAAGGUAUAGCAGAUUAGAGUCAGAGUCCAAAAUCAAAUCAAAACAGAACUUCUGGUCUUCUGAUUUCUUCAUCUGUAACAUACUGGCUUGAAUGUAUUUCUUUUAUUCAGCAUAACCUGUUUUGUCACUGUGUGUUUAGGAGAAAACAGACACGGGAUGGGAACAUGAAAGCCAAUGCCAGUUUGGCACUAGCAUCUUCAUGCAGAAUGGAAUUCAUGCACAAAAACUUUCACAAGAAUGGACAAAAGAAUUCUGUAAAGUGUCAAGGUCAGGACUGGAAAAAAACCACUGCUUGCAAGCCCAGAAUCUGAAACCAGCUUUAUAAUAGACAUUAACAUAUGAUGACAUGGAAUACCUUAAAGCCCCCAAAGGCAGAAGUCUACAAUCUUUCCUUCUGACUUCUAAAAGCGCCUCAUGGAACAGUCACCCAAGUUUCACUGGAAUGAGUUUCAGGUGAAUGGUGUACAUGGAACGCCUGCACGUGCAGAUCUGCAAUAGCCAGUAGUAACAUGUUUGAGGCCUAACUGGAAGGUACCUGACCACCUGCAGUGCAUUUGUUUGCUAACCAUGUCUAACACACUCCCAUUUUUGUGCCUUGGUUCUCAUUUCUUCUACCAAAGAUGUAUCCUUUGCCCCACCACAGUGCUGUUAGCCCAUCCAAAUUUUCAUUCACUUGGAACUGUUCAACACUGCAUCAUGAAGUUAUAGUCUGCCUGCCUGAGGAAGUAAUUAAGAUUGCACAUAAUUACAGGCAUACCUCAUUUUAUUGCAUUUCACAGAUAUUGCGGGGAUUGUGUUUUGUUUUUUAGGAAUUGAAGUUUUGUGGCAGUCCUGUGUCGAACCAGUGCCAUUUUUCCGGCAGCAUUUGCUCACUUUGUGUGUGUGUCACACGUUAGUAAUUCUUGCAGUAUUUUAAACUCUUUCCUUAUGAUGAUGAUCAGUGAUUACAGACUCAUUGAAAGCUCAGAUGAUGGUUAGCAUUUUUUAGCAAUAAAGUAUUUUUUAAAUUAAGAUGUCAAUUGGGGUGUUUUUUUUCCUAGAUAUAAUGCUAUUGCACACUUAAUAGACUACAGUAUAGACAUGACUUUUAUAUGCACUUUUUGGUAAAACAAAAAAUUGAUUUGACUCCCUUUACUGUGAUACUCACUUUAUCCCAGUGAUCUGAAACCAAACCCACAAUAUAUGAGGUAUGCCUGUAUCUGCUAAUAAUAUUAUAGAUUUAUGAAUUUGGUAUGGAGUUGCUGUAUAUGAGCUCUAAGAUCCUAUAUAGAUCUAAAAUGUUUUAUAAUUCUAUAAUCCCCUUAACAUAUGUAAUGUGGGAAAAUGUAGAUGAUUUUUAGGAAAGAUAGAAAAAAUAUUUCAGAUGUAAAUGCUGUAUUUGGGUUUAUAAUUGAUUAAUGUUACUUAUAAAUUAUGCUAUAUAUUUAGACAUUAUAUGUUAAUUUUAAAAAUUUACAGCUUGUGUCCAUAAAUAAAUUUUGGGAAUAUA